GGAUCGAUGAUGAGAAUAAUUGUCUGAGGAUGCUGAGGGACUCAUUCCAGAUGUCAAUCUGAGGUCCAGAUGUGUGGCCCUCCAAUAGGACAAAUAAGACUCUCAGAGCCUGGCUCUAUUUGGGGAUCCCUCAGUGACAACAUAGUACCUCUGUGAGCGUGCCUUUUCUAUCUCUCCGAAGAGGGCAUUAGCAUCCUGUCUUAUGAGUCAGUAUGCACUUUAGUAUGGUUAGUGACCCAAGACUCACUUUAUUUUGUUCAUUUUGAGCAGAGAAUUGUAGAUAGAUACAUAUAUGGGAAAUAUGUUCUUGAUUAACAAAUGAAAAAAUGAAAAAGUUUCAGUCAAGAAAGGUCAAGGAACUGUGAUGUAUAGUGAAGGCAGGGAACACUGCAUGCCUGUAUUAAAUAUUGACAAAGGAACCAAUUUUAGUGCUUUGUUAUUUUUACUGUUGAGUAUUUUCUGAGACCAUUUCUUUUUCUUCUAUUUUGUUUUGCUGAGGUAGAGGAGGGCUGGAAUGAGGUCCUCCACUUCAGAAAAUAGGGGUGAGUAGUUAAACCAACAUCCUUUGGAAUUCAUAUACGUCAUGCGUUCCAUGCCACAUCCUGAGAUCUUUUUGUUGAUUUUUUUAGUGGCUUACUGGAUAAUAUCUAAAUACUGUAUAUUUUACUUUGGUGAGUCUCUCCACCUUCAUUUCUGAAUCAUUGUCCUUUACAUUUUUAUUCUAUUUGAAUUUUGCAUGAAAUGACAAAUGUAGAAUUUUGCCCAAUUUAUUUUAUUUAUUCAUUUAUUUAUUUGGGAAGACAAAGUCUCUCUCUGUCACCCAGGCUGGAGUACAUUGGCCCAGUCAGAGCUCACUUCAGCUCUUCACCCUGUAGCCCUUAACUCCUGGGCUCAAGUGAUCCUCCACCCUCAGCCUCCCAAGUAUCUAGGAAUACAGUUGUCAUGGGAGGCCAGCCGCCUGCUGGCAAGGAAGAUGGUUGAUUCUUCUGAUCAAUGGAGGCCCUGCAGAGUCCUGUAGUCACUGUGGCCUGGCAUCCAUGGUGCACCCAAUGCUGGUGGAUGGCUUAGGACGGUACGCCUCACCUGAGAGGGCGGCUAGAGACAGUGUCUGCUCAGGACAUCAGAUGUCCCGUGAGGAGGAGUGUGUACUCACACCAGGGGAGUUGACUGAGGCAGUUGCUGUGGGAGGUGUGGUAACUGCUGGAAGGAAGAUGCUCAAUUCUUCUGAGCAACGAAGGCCACACGGAGUCCUGGAUUCUGUGUGGCCUGGCAUCCAUGGCGCACUGUGUGCUGGCAGGUGGCUCAGGACGGUAAGCAUUUCUCUGCCCAGUAUGCUGAAUGAGGGUGUCUUUCGGAUUUCCAAGACCCGCAAGGAGCAGUUUCUCAGCUAACCACUAAUGGCAUGGCGAGUUCCUCUCCUAGAGUGGAUAGUCUGUGCUCAUUGCUCAGUGGCAUCGCUCUAGUGGGGCCGAAGGUCUUUAAGGUCAUUGGCUCACCCACUGCCCAGCCUGUGGUGUCAAAUAUCCUGCCCCUUGCCCCUUCAAAUGUGCUUGGAUCGAUGAUGAGUCCCCAAAAAAAACAUUCCUUGGAAAAGCUGAACAAAAUGAGUGAAAACUCAUACCGUCAUUCUCAUCGGAACUGAGGUCCAGCACGUUGCCUUCCCCGGGGACUGUAGGAGUGAGGGACAACUUCCACUGAUUCCCAUAGGUUCCACCACCCAAGGCAUCCACAGCCAAAGUCUCCCAUCAAAUGCUCAUUAGGAACAUUCCCUUUUUGUGAGGUACACAGGUAGGAGAGUCCUGGGGGGAACGGCUGCUCUGUGAUGGCCUGGUGGCCAUGGAAGCAGACAGAAAUAUCGCAGGCCUAGGGUAGUGUGCGCCUGAUCUUGGCUUGGUGAGCUCCUAGGAAGGGAGACGCGGACCUCGUGGCAGGCGUCUCUGAGCAGAGGACUGAGUCCUUGUUUUCUUGCCGGGGAGAGCACAAGGCCCAGGCCUCAGGCAGAUGUUGGUCCUGAUUUUUGAUUAGCUGAGGACAAGGGAGUGCCAAGGGUGAUGGGGGACAGUGUAUAACAAAGGGUGUUGUGACAGAGAGCCAAAGCCUCUUUGGCCCUCCACCCAGCAUCCAGUCAUGGAGGCCCCCCAGCAGGGAUUUCUUCAUCCCCUGAGCCGUGAGAUGCCCCUGGUGCUAUGGUGGAAGCCUGGACUGGAAGAGUAGUGGGCUCCACUGUUGGGCACAUCUUCCUGGAAGUCGUCUCUUGGCCCGCCAUUGCCGAGCGGCCACACCUGCUGCAGCUCGUGUGAGCAAAUAUGGCUCUGGAUCCUCUUUCCUGCUUUGAAAGCAGCUUCCAUCCUGAAGGCGUCCAGAGGGGGCAGUUAUCAUGGGACACCCGCCAUAUGCUGGCAAGGAAGAUGGUCAGUUCUUCUGAGCCACAAAGGCCCCCAACAUCCUGGAGUUGGUGUUGCCUAGCAUCCACGGUGCGCCCCCUGCUGGUGGAUGGCUCAGGAUGGUAAGCAUUCCUCCGCCGCACAUGCUGAGUGGGGGUGGGAUUUCCAAGACCUGCAAGGAGCUGUUUCUCAGCAGGCCACUGAUGGCAUGGCGAGUUCCACUCCUAAAGUGAACGGUCUGUGCCCAUUGUUCAGUGGUGCAGCUCUGGCUUCCCCAGCGUGCGGAGGGUUUUUAAGGUCAUCGGCUUGCCCACUGCCCAGCCUGUGGUGUCAAAUAUCCUGCCCCUUCAAAUGUGCUUGGAUCGAUGAUGAGUCCCCCAUAAAAACAUUCCUUGGAAAAGCUGAACAAAAUGAGUGAGAACUCAUACCGUCGUUCUCAUCGGAACUGAGGUC
This is a long non-coding RNA of Homo sapiens (human), 2837 nucleotides long. Ensembl annotates it as small nucleolar RNA host gene 14. Its record names the gene SNHG14. Lineage: Eukaryota; Metazoa; Chordata; Mammalia; Primates; Hominidae. The record is from Ensembl.